CUCACGUCUGCCUCCCUCCACGCCUCUGCCUUUUCUCCCUCCCUUCAACCCCUCCUCCAGCUGACCCACGUGGGACGUUUCGGUGACAGGCCCUGGAAGAGGCGGAGGCCCUAGCGGAUCUGCCACAGCUGAGCGCAAGCGGAUGCUGGGAUGCUCAUGAUGGACAGACUGCGCAUCCUGAAUACGCCCCGCCAUACCCGGGGCUCCGGACUUGGCCUGUCAUCCGGUCCAAGAAAUCUGACCCUUAUCAAGCCUCUGCUUGGCUGAUCUGACUGCUGUCAUCGGUGGAGGCCCUCUGGUGCCUACAGAGGCACAAGACAGGGAAAAAGAGAGACUUGAGUCCUACUAAUGCCCUCCAUAUCAUGCCUGAUGGCGUGGUGCGCAGUACAGACGGGCAGAUCAUGUCAGUGACCACACAAGAAAUCUCAGCUGCAGGAAAAAAAACGGGAGAAUUUUGGAGAAAAGGCGACUCCGUUAUUCCUUCAGCCAAUUUUCCCCUAUAAGUAUUUGAACAUGAACACAGGGGAGGCAAUUUUAGACAUACGCAGUUACAUGAAUAAAGUGGGCCUAAAUAAAUACCUAAAGUAGGCACUUGCAGUGUGUGGGUCUGCAUGGCUGCGGGCAUUAACAGCCGCAUCGUGUAUGCUCUAGGGCAGUGUGUGUAGAAAACAUCAUGAAUUGAACACUUAAUACCCCCAUAAGGUGAUAAUAUCCCCUGCUUCAUUUUCACAUUGAUCCCAGGUUAAGAUAUUUGAGCUAAAUAGUAUCCUUAAAUUUCACUUAUUUUUCUUUCACUUUUUCAGUGUAGCUGUUAGAAACUCUUAGUUACAUUUCACAUGUGUCUUACUGUAUUUCUGAUCGGCAGAGCUGUCUUAUGAGCCUGUCUUCAUCCUUAAAUCCCCCAGACUAAAAUAAAGGCUCUGAAUAUUAGGAAGGGGGACUAGAAGAAGGAAGUUGCUCCCUUCGAUUGCACCCCCACCCCCAGCAUGCUGACCAUUGGCUUAUUUUCCAGAGAUGAAUGGAAUGAAAGAUUAAAGGCAGUCAUACAGGAUUUCACCCUCUCCAGUACAAAGAAAGGCUGAUAAACUCAACCCUAAGCUGGCAAACAGGAGAGGACAUUUGAUAGCACUAAGCAUGUCUGGUCAUGCUGGGGGGUGGGGGGAGGGCGUGGCACUGCAGAUAAAUCUGAGUUUGGUUUCAUGCUCUGCCAUCUCCGGUGAUGGACUUAAUCUCCAUGAGCCUCAUUUUCCUCCAUCUUCAAAGGAUAGAUGGGACUGCCUUAACAUUGACUAACAUGGAUAAAAGCAAACAUGUGCAUAGCACCUACCAGGUGUGUAAACUGUCCUAGGUGCUUCAGACAUAAUCAUGAUCAUGCGAUGGUGUUGUCAUGUCAGAAAGUACAUGACACAAGAAGUUAGGUGACUUACAGCUAGUGUGGUUCAAACCCAGGCAGUGAUCAUAAAUCACCCUUCUGUGCAGCAGUCCACACACACACACACACACACACACACACA
This is a long non-coding RNA of Peromyscus leucopus (white-footed mouse), 1514 nucleotides long. RefSeq lists it as uncharacterized. The transcript is spliced from 2 exons. The record is from RefSeq and is a predicted model, not a curated record. Lineage: Eukaryota; Metazoa; Chordata; Mammalia; Rodentia; Cricetidae.